Amphimedon queenslandica is the source of this 527-nucleotide long non-coding RNA. RefSeq lists it as uncharacterized. The record is from RefSeq and is a predicted model, not a curated record. The transcript has 4 exons. Lineage: Eukaryota; Metazoa; Porifera; Demospongiae; Haplosclerida; Niphatidae.
AGACACUGGUAAAGACCCUUCAGGCUCUUCUCUCUCAGGAAUUGAUUGUAAGAACAAGAGCCCAUUAUACAGCAGAGGAUGCAGCAAGCAGUUGAUGAAGUAAAGACAAAAUGAUCGGAAGACAUGCAGAAAGUAUUAAUGGACUCUAGCAGACAUAAUUAUUAGGAAAUCACUGAAAGAAGUUGGUACUCAAUCAAACUCAAAAGAAAAUUGUUAGAAUUGUGAUACGGAGACAAUGUCGUCUGGUGGUGGUAGUAAAGCAAGAUAUUGUGGUACUUAUUCCUCUUAAAUGUCAUCUCUUUCAAUAACAAUAACAUUGCUAAUGAUAGUAACCUGACACAAUAGGAAGAGGUGUAGCUAUUAUCAACAAAUCAGGCAGUAGAGAUCACAUUUCAAUAAGCCAUCAUCGUACAUACUUGACAUUCAUAUUUCUUUUAUAAUAAUUGUUUAUAUUCAUUUGUUGUGUUAUUGUUUGUUUUCUCUUUACUCAUUCACUAUUGUCACCAUUAAAUCAUCUCAGUCUCUUU